This 278-nucleotide ribosomal RNA is filed under the name uncultured Prevotella sp. RNAcentral's name for it is "partial 16S ribosomal RNA". It matches the Rfam family "Bacterial small subunit ribosomal RNA", at positions 511 to 788 of the family's 1533-position model. Lineage: Bacteria; Pseudomonadati; Bacteroidota; Bacteroidia; Bacteroidales; Prevotellaceae. The record is from RNAcentral.
GCAGCCGCGGUAAUACGUAGGGAGCAAGCGUUGUCCGGAUUUACUGGGUGUAAAGGGUGCGUAGGCGGGCCCUCAAGUCAGACGUGAAAGCCAUAGGCUCAACCUGUGAAUUGCGUUUGAAACUGAGGGUCUUGAGUGAAGUAGAGGUAGGCGGAAUUCCCGGUGUAGCGGUGAAAUGCGUAGAGAUCGGGAGGAACACCAGUGGCGAAGGCGGCCUGCUGGGCUUUAACUGACGCUGAGGCACGAAAGCGUGGGUAGCAAACAGGAUUAGAUACCCC